Molecule: ribosomal RNA, 1434 nt
Filed under: Chaetothyriales sp. MMO7
Lineage: Eukaryota; Fungi; Ascomycota; Eurotiomycetes; Chaetothyriales
Description: eukaryotic LSU rRNA
Rfam family: Eukaryotic large subunit ribosomal RNA
Source: RNAcentral
UUGACCUCGGAUCAGGUAGGAAUACCCGCUGAACUUAAGCAUAUCAAUAAGCGGAGGAAAAGAAACCAACAGGGAUUGCCUCAGUAACGGCGAGUGAAGCGGCAACAGCUCAAAUUUGAAAUCUGGCCUCUUUGGGGUCCGAGUUGUAAUUUGGAGAGGAUGUUUCGGGCACCGCCCCGGUCUAAAUUUCUUGGAACAGAAUGUCAGAGAGGGUGAGAAUCCCGUCUUGGACCGGCGGUAGGGCUCAUGUGAAACUCCUUCGACGAGUCGAGUUGUUUGGGAAUGCAGCUCAAAAUGGGUGGUAAAUUUCAUCUAAAGCUAAAUAUUGGCCAGAGACCGAUAGCGCACAAGUAGAGUGAUCGAAAGAUGAAAAGCACUUUGAAAAGAGAGUUAAACAGUAUGUGAAAUUGUUGAAAGGGAAGCGCUUGCGACCAGACUUGCGCGCGGCGGUUCCCCUGGCCUUUUGGCCAGGUUACUCCGUCGUGCCCAGGCCAACAUCGGUUCUGGGGGCCGGUCAAAGGCCCCGGGAAUGUAUCUACCCUUCGGGCGUAGACUUAUAGCCCGGGGUGUCAUGCGGCCUCCUGGGACCGAGGAACGCGCUUCGGCUCGGAUGUUGGCAUAAUGGUCGCCAGCGACCCGUCUUGAAACACGGACCAAGGAGUCGUAGAAUUUUGCGAGUGUUUGGGUGUCAAACCCGGAACGCGUAAUGAAAGUGAACGGAGGUAGGAAGCUUUGGCUGCACUAUCGACCGAUCCUGAUGUCUUCGGAUGGAUUUGAGUAAGAGCAAAAUUCUUCGGACCCGAAAGAUGGUGAACUAUGCCUGAAUAGGGUGAAGCCAGAGGAAACUCUGGUGGAGGCUCGCAGCGGUUCUGACGUGCAAAUCGAUCGUCAAAUUUGGGUAUAGGGGCGAAAGACUAAUCGAAUCAUCUGGUAGCUGGUUCCUGCCGAAGUUUCCCUCAGGAUAGCAGUAACGUUUUCAGUUUUAUGAGGUAAAGCGAAUGAUUAGAGGCCUUGGGGUUGAAACAACCUUAACCUAUUCUCAAACUUUAAAUAUGUAAGAAGUCCUUGUUGCUUUUUUGAACGUGGACAUUCGAAUGUAUCGUUACUAGUGGGCCAUUUUUGGUAAGCAGAACUGGCGAUGCGGGAUGAACCGAACGUGAGGUUAAGGUGCCGGAAUGUACGCUCAUCAGACACCACAAAAGGUGUCAAUGCAUCCAGACAGCCGGACGGUGGCCAUGGAAGUUGGAAUCCGCUUAGGAGUGUGUAACAACUCACCGGCCGAAUGCAUUGGCCCUGAAAAUGGAUGGCGCUUAAGCGUGCUACCUAUACCUCGCCGUCAGGGUUGACAUGAUGCCCUGACGAGUAGGCAGGCGUGGAGGUCCGUACCGAAGCCUUGGGGGUGACCCCGGGUCGAACGACCUCUAGUGCAGAUCU